This 430-nucleotide ribosomal RNA is filed under the name uncultured bacterium. Its description in RNAcentral is "bacterial SSU rRNA". It matches the Rfam family "Bacterial small subunit ribosomal RNA", at positions 346 to 793 of the family's 1533-position model. The record is from RNAcentral.
AGGCAGCAGUGAGGAAUUUUGGGCAAUGGGCGAAAGCCUGACCCAGCAACGCCGCGUGAAGGAUGAAGUAUUUCGGUAUGUAAACUUCGAAAGAAUGGGAAGAAUAAAUGACGGUACCAUUUAUAAGCUCCGGCUAACUACGUGCCAGCAGCCGCGGUAAUACGUAGGGAGCAAGCGUUGUUCGGAUUUACUGGGCGUAAAGGGCGCGUAGGCGGCGCGGUAAGUCAGCUGUGAAAUCUCCGAGCUUAACUCGGGACGGCCAGCUGAUACUGCAGUGCUAGAGUGCAGAAGGGGCAAUCGGAAUUCUUGGUGUAGCGGUGAAAUGCGUAGAUAUCAAGAGGAACACCUGAGGUGAAGACGGGUUGCUGGGCUGACACUGACGCUGAGGCGCGAAAGCCAGGGGAGCAAACAGGAUUAGAUACCCCGGUAG